Small nuclear RNA from Monodelphis domestica (gray short-tailed opossum), 156 nucleotides. Its record names the gene U2. It matches the Rfam family "U2 spliceosomal RNA". Rfam says of the family: U2 is a small nuclear RNA (snRNA) component of the spliceosome (involved in pre-mRNA splicing). The record is from Ensembl. Lineage: Eukaryota; Metazoa; Chordata; Mammalia; Didelphimorphia; Didelphidae.
AUCACUUCUCUGCCUUUUGGCUAAGAUCAGGUGUAGAAAGUACUUAAUAAAUAAAGAAUAACUGCAAAAUAAACAUCAAGGUAAUUUUUGGAGGGAAGGCACUCAAUUAAGAGCUUGCUAUGCAAUAUAUAUUGUAUAUAGGUCAGUAUAUCACUA